GCAUAUCAAUAAGCGGAGGAAAAGAAACUAACAAGGAUUCCCCUAGUAACUGCGAGUGAAGCGGGAAAAGCUCAAAUUUAAAAUCUGGCGGUCUUUGGCCGUCCGAGUUGUAGUCUGGAGAAGUGCUUUCCGCGCUGGACCGUGUAUAAGUCUCUUGGAACAGAGCGUCAUAGAGGGUGAGAAUCCCGUCUUUGACACGGACUACCAGUGCUUUGUGAUGCGCUCUCAAAGAGUCGCGUUGUUUGGGAAUGCAGCGCAAAAUGGGUGGUGAAUUCCAUCUAAAGCUAAAUAUUGGCGAGAGACCGAUAGCGAACAAGUACCGUGAGGGAAAGAUGAAAAGCACUUUGGAAAGAGAGUUAAACAGUACGUGAAAUUGCUGAAAGGGAAACGCUUGAAGUCAGUCGCGUUGUCCGGGACUCAGCCUUGCUUCGGCUUGGUGCACUUUCCGGAUGACGGGCCAGCAUCGAUUUUGACCGCUGGAAAAGGGCUGGAGGAAUGUGGCACCUUCGGGUGUGUUAUAGCCUCCAGUCGCAUACGGCGGUUGGGAUCGAGGAACGCAGCACGCCUUACGGCGGGGGUUCGCCCACCUUCGUGCUUAGGAUGCUGGCAUAAUGGCUUUAAACGACCCGUCUUGAAACACGGACC
RNAcentral lists this ribosomal RNA (645 nucleotides) under Trametes sanguinea. Its description in RNAcentral is "LSU rRNA". It matches the Rfam family "Eukaryotic large subunit ribosomal RNA", at positions 38 to 667 of the family's 3401-position model. Lineage: Eukaryota; Fungi; Basidiomycota; Agaricomycetes; Polyporales; Polyporaceae. The record is from RNAcentral.